This 428-nucleotide ribosomal RNA is filed under the name uncultured bacterium. RNAcentral describes it as "partial 16S ribosomal RNA". It matches the Rfam family "Bacterial small subunit ribosomal RNA", at positions 354 to 796 of the family's 1533-position model. The record is from RNAcentral.
GUGGGGAAUAUUGGGCAAUGGGGGAAACCCUGACCCAGCAACGCCGCGUGAGGGAAGAAGGUUUUCGGAUUGUAAACCUCUGUCCUUGGUGACGAAGGAAGUGACGGUAGCCAAGGAGGAAGCCCCGGCUAACUACGUGCCAGCAGCCGCGGUAAUACGUAGGGGGCAAGCGUUGUCCGGAAUGACUGGGCGUAAAGGGCGUGUAGGCGGCCGAUUAAGUCUGGAGUGAAAGUCCUGCUUUCAAGGUGGGAAUUGCUUUGGAGACUGGUUGGCUUGAGUGCGGAAGAGGUAAGUGGAAUUCCCAGUGUAGCGGUGAAAUGCGUAGAGAUUGGGAGGAACACCAGUGGCGAAGGCGACUUACUGGGCCGUAACUGACGCUGAGGCGCGAAAGCGUGGGGAGCGAACAGGAUUAGAUACCCCUGUAGUCC